RNAcentral lists this unclassified non-coding RNA (216 nucleotides) under Hevea brasiliensis (rubber tree). The record is from RNAcentral. Lineage: Eukaryota; Viridiplantae; Streptophyta; Magnoliopsida; Malpighiales; Euphorbiaceae.
GGCAGCUGAAGUCCUCGACUUCGUUGGCAAACAAGUUCGAGUUUCAACUGUUACUGGAAAGAAGGUGUUGGCUCUUCCUGAGAAGCUUUUGCCGAGGGACGCGGAUGAGGAUGACCACGGAGGAGUGGAUGACAUGACGAAGUUGACCUAUUUGAAUGAGCCUGGCGUGCUUUAUAAUCUUCAAAGAAGAUAUUCUCUCAAUGACAUAUAUACAUA